UACGGAGGGGGCUAGCGUUGUUCGGAAUUACUGGGCGUAAAGCGCACGUAGGCGGCUUUGUAAGUUAGAGGUGAAAGCCCGGAGCUCAACUCCGGAAUUGCCUUUAAGACUGCAUCGCUUGAAUCAUGGAGAGGUGAGUGGAAUUCCGAGUGUAGAGGUGAAAUUCGUAGAUAUUCGGAAGAACACCAGUGGCGAAGGCGACUCACUGGACAUGUAUUGACGCUGAGGUGCGAAAGCGUGGGGAGCAAACGGG
Molecule: ribosomal RNA, 253 nt
Filed under: uncultured bacterium
Lineage: Bacteria
Description: partial 16S ribosomal RNA
Rfam family: Bacterial small subunit ribosomal RNA
Source: RNAcentral